AGAUCAUGAUUUCAUGAUGCAUGGAGAAGCCCAAAAGUUGAUCCCACGAUGAGAAGCCAAGUAACUUAUCACAUGAUUUCAUGAUGCAUGGAGAAGACCAAAAGUUGAUCCCACGAUUAGAAGCCAAGUAGCUGAUCACACGAUUUCACGAUGCAUGGAGAAGUCUAAAAGCUGAUCCCACGUUGAGAAGCCAAGUAGUUGAUCACACGAUUUCACGAUGCAUGGAGAAGCCCAAAAUCUGAUCCC
Molecule: long non-coding RNA, 246 nt
Filed under: Capsicum annuum
Lineage: Eukaryota; Viridiplantae; Streptophyta; Magnoliopsida; Solanales; Solanaceae
Description: long non-coding RNA (CANN_LNC018823)
Source: RNAcentral